AGCAGCAACUCCGUGUUGGGAACUAUUAGCGGGUCGCAAAAGCUGGUCUUUUCGUUCGGUGUAUCGCGAGAAGGUUAACCAUGUCGACACACAAGAAGAAGACCAGAAAGUUACGUGGGCACGUGAGCCACGGUCAUGGACGUAUUGGUAAACACCGUAAGCACCCUGGUGGUCGCGGUAAUGCCGGUGGUAUGCACCAUCACCGCAUCAACUUCGACAAGUACCAUCCAGGGUACUUUGGAAAGUUAGGUAUGCGUAACUAUCACUUGAGAAGAAAUCAAAAGUUUUGUCCAACGCUUAAUUUGGACAAACUUUGGACCCUUGUAUCCGAACAAACCAGAUUGAAGUACAAAAGUGCUGAUUCUGAGACUGAUAAAGUUCCAGUAAUUGAUCUUGUCAAAGCUGGAUAUUACAAACUUCUGGGAAAAGGUAGAAUACCAAAACAACCAGUGAUCGUGAAAGCUAAGUUUUUCAGUAAAACAGCUGAAGAUAAAAUCAAAGAAGCUGGUGGAGUCUGUGUACUAAGUGCAUAAAUCAUUAGGUAACUAUCUUAACCUACACAAUGACAUUCUUCAAACAUCUCAUUGGCAAUAAAAAAAUUUAGUUCAAAAAAUCAAAAAUUUUCUUUUGAGUUACUUAUCUUUUAUGAGCUCAUCUUCAAUGCAAAUGCAAUUUUUCAUGGAUUUUGUAAAAA
RNAcentral lists this unclassified non-coding RNA (694 nucleotides) under Trichogramma pretiosum. Its description in RNAcentral is "60S ribosomal protein L27a-like, transcript variant X3". Lineage: Eukaryota; Metazoa; Arthropoda; Insecta; Hymenoptera; Trichogrammatidae. The record is from RNAcentral.